UACGUAGGGGGCAAGCGUUAUCCGGAUUUACUGGGUGUAAAGGGAGCGUAGGCGGCUGUGUAAGCCAGAAGUGAAAGCCCGAGGCUCAACCACGGGACUGCUUUUGGAGCUACAUGGCUUGAUUGCAGGAGAGGCAAGUGGAAUUCCUAGUGUAGCGGUGAAAUGCGUAGAUAUUAGGAGGAACACCAGUGGCGAAGGCGGCUUGCUGGACUGUAAAUGACGCUGAGGCUCGAAAGCGUGGGGAGCAAACAGG
Molecule: ribosomal RNA, 253 nt
Filed under: uncultured bacterium
Lineage: Bacteria
Description: partial 16S ribosomal RNA
Rfam family: Bacterial small subunit ribosomal RNA
Source: RNAcentral